GGUUUGAUCAUGGCUCAGAUUGAACGCUGGCGGGAUGCUUUACACAUGCAAGUCGAACGGCAGCACGGACUUCGGUCUGGUGGCGAGGGCGAACGGGUGAGUAAUGUAUCGGAACGUGCCUAGUAGCGGGGAUAACUACGCGAAAGCGUAGCUAAUACCGCAUACGCCUCGGGGGAAAGCGUAAUUCCCGGGCCUCGCACCAUUAGGAGCGGCCGAUAUCGGAUUAGCUAGUUGGUGGGGUAACGGCUCACCAAGGCGACGAUCCGUGUAGCUGGUUUGAGGUGACGACCAGCCACACUGGGACUGAGACACGGCCCAGACUCCUACGGGAGGCAGCAGUGGGGAAUUUUGGACAAUGGGGGAAACCCUGAUCCGAGCCAUCCCGCGUGUGCGAUGAAGGCCUUCGGGUUGUAAAGCACUUUUGGCAGGAAGAAACGGCACGGAUAAUACCCCGUGCAACUGAUUGUAUUCUUGCAGAAUAAGCACCGGCUAACUACGUGCCAGCAGCCGCGGUAAUACGUAGGUGCAAGCGUUAAUCGGAAUUACUGGGCGUAAAGCGUGCGCAGGCGGUUCGAAGUUGAAAGAUGUGAAACCCCAGAGCUUAACUUUGAACUGCAUUUUUAACUACCGAGCUAGAGUGUGUCAGAGGAGGUGGAAUUCCGCGUGUAGCAGUGAAAUGCGUAGAUAUGCGGAGGAACACCGAUGGCGAAGGCAGCCUCCGGGAUAACACUGACGCUCAUGCACGAAAGCGUGGGGAGCAAACAGGAUUAGAUACUCCGGUAGUCCACGCCCUAAACGAUGUCAACUAGCUGUUGGGGCCUUCGGGCCUUGGUAGCGCAGCUUAACGCGGUGAAGUUGACCGUGCCUGGGGAGUACGGUCGCAAGAUUAAACCGAAGGAAUUGACGGGGACCCGCACAUGGGUGAUGAGGGAUUAAUUCGAUGCAACGCGAAAACCUUACCUACCCUUGACAUGUCUGGAAUCCCGAAGAGAUUUGGGAGUGCUCGUGCGGAGAACCGGAACACAGGUGUUGCAUGGCUGUCAGUCGCCGCAGAUGUUGGGUUAAGUCCCCGGGCAACGAGCGCAACCCUUGUCAUUGAAGGCUACGAAAGGGCACUCUAUCGAGACUGCCGGUGACAAACCGGAGGAAGGUGGGGAUGACGUCAAGUCCUCAUGGCCCUUAUGGGUAGGGCUUCACACGUCAUGCGUCGGUCGGGACAGAGGGUCGCUAACCCGCGAGGGGAGCCAAUCCCAGAAACCCGAUCGUAGUCCGGAUCGCAGUCUGCAACUCGACUGCGUGAAGUCGGAAUCGCUAGUAAUCGCGGAUCAGUAUGUCGCGGUGAAUACGUUCCCGGGUCUUGUACACACCGCCCGUCACACCAUGGGAGUGGGUUUGUUUCAGAAGUAGUUAGCCUAACCGCAAGGGGGCGAUUACCACGGUAGGAUUCAUGACUGGGGUGAAGUCGUAACAAGGUAGCUCUGUGCCAUUACCUGAUGCCCU
This 1500-nucleotide ribosomal RNA is filed under the name uncultured Bordetella sp. Its description in RNAcentral is "partial 16S-23S ribosomal RNA intergenic spacer". It matches the Rfam family "Bacterial small subunit ribosomal RNA". The record is from RNAcentral. Lineage: Bacteria; Pseudomonadati; Pseudomonadota; Betaproteobacteria; Burkholderiales; Alcaligenaceae.